RNAcentral lists this transfer RNA (77 nucleotides) under Acidithiobacillus ferrooxidans. RNAcentral's name for it is "tRNA-Pro". It matches the Rfam family "tRNA". From Rfam's summary of the family: Transfer RNA (tRNA) molecules are approximately 80 nucleotides in length. Their secondary structure includes four short double-helical elements and three loops (D, anti-codon, and T loops). Further hydrogen bonds mediate the characteristic L-shaped molecular structure. tRNAs have two regions of fundamental functional importance: the anti-codon, which is responsible for specific mRNA codon recognition, and the 3' end, to which the tRNAs corresponding amino acid is attached (by aminoacyl-tRNA synthetases). tRNAs cope with the degeneracy of the genetic code in two manners: having more than one tRNA (with a specific anti-codon) for a particular amino acid; and 'wobble' base-pairing, i.e. permitting non-standard base-pairing at the 3rd anti-codon position. Lineage: Bacteria; Pseudomonadati; Pseudomonadota; Acidithiobacillia; Acidithiobacillales; Acidithiobacillaceae. RNAcentral also lists the same sequence under 29 other names. The record is from RNAcentral.
CGGGGCGUAGCGCAGCUUGGUAGCGCGCCUGCUUUGGGAGCAGGAUGUCGUAGGUUCGAAUCCUAUCGCCCCGACCA